RNAcentral lists this long non-coding RNA (304 nucleotides) under Olea europaea (common olive). RNAcentral's name for it is "long non-coding RNA (OEUR_LNC014478)". Lineage: Eukaryota; Viridiplantae; Streptophyta; Magnoliopsida; Lamiales; Oleaceae. The record is from RNAcentral.
GGGCGAAUAGUGUUGGAUACUUGUUUUUGGCUUCCUCUUCCCCUUCCCAAGUGGCCUCUUCUAUUUCAUGAUUAUUCCAUUAUAUUUUGACCAAUUGAAUUUCUUUGUUCCUUAGUUUAUGCACCUUUCGAUCCAAUAUCCUAAUUGGUAGCUCUUCAUAGGAUAUGUCCUUUUGUACUUCCAUGGACUGAUAGUUCACUACAUGAUUAGGAUCAUGCACAUAUUUCUUGAUCAUUGAUACAUGGAACACGUUGUGCACUGCCGAUAACCCAGGUGGGAGAGCUAACCAAUAGGCUACAUUUCC